Molecule: ribosomal RNA, 368 nt
Filed under: uncultured bacterium
Lineage: Bacteria
Description: bacterial SSU rRNA
Rfam family: Bacterial small subunit ribosomal RNA
Source: RNAcentral
AUUGAACGCUGGCGGAAUGCUUUACACAUGCAAGUCGAGCGGCAGCGCGGGGGCAACCCUGGCGGCGAGCGGCGAACGGGUGAGUAAUACAUCGGAACGUGUCCUUAAGUGGGGGAUAGCUCGGCGAAAGCCGGAUUAAUACCGCAUAAGCUCUGAGGAGGAAAGCGGGGGCUCCGUAAGGACCUCGCGCUGUUGGAGCGGCCGAUGUCGGAUUAGCUAGUUGGUGGGGUAAAGGCCCACCAAGGCGACGAUCCGUAGCUGGUCUGAGAGGAUGAUCAGCCACACUGGAACUGAGACACGGUCCAGACUCCUACGGGAGGCAGCAGUGGGGAAUUUUGGACAAUGGGGGCAACCCUGAUCCAGCCAUU